This 487-nucleotide ribosomal RNA is filed under the name uncultured bacterium. Its description in RNAcentral is "bacterial SSU rRNA". It matches the Rfam family "Bacterial small subunit ribosomal RNA", at positions 1 to 505 of the family's 1533-position model. The record is from RNAcentral.
CCCUUAGAGUUUGAUCCUGGCUCAGGACGAACGCUGGCGGCGCGCCUAACACAUGCAAGUCGAACGAGAGAUGAGGAGCUUGCUCUUCAAAUCGAGUGGCGAACGGGUGAGUAACGCGUGAGGAACCUGCCUCAAAGAGGGGGACAACAGUUGGAAACGACUGCUAAUACCGCAUAAGCCCACGGCUCGGCAUCGAGCAGAGGGAAAAGGAGCAAUCCGCUUUGAGAUGGCCUCGCGUCCGAUUAGCUAGUUGGUGAGGUAACGGCCCACCAAGGCGACGAUCGGUAGCCGGACUGAGAGGUUGAACGGCCACAUUGGGACUGAGACACGGCCCAGACUCCUACGGGAGGCAGCAGUGGGGAAUAUUGCACAAUGGGGGAAACCCUGAUGCAGCGACGCCGCGUGGAGGAAGAAGGUCUUCGGAUUGUAAACUCCUGUUGUGAGGAAGAUAAUGACGGUACUCAACAAGGAAGUGACGGCUACUCUG